Molecule: ribosomal RNA, 505 nt
Filed under: uncultured bacterium
Lineage: Bacteria
Description: bacterial SSU rRNA
Rfam family: Bacterial small subunit ribosomal RNA
Source: RNAcentral
AUGAACGCUGGCGGCGUGCCUAACACAUGCAAGUCGAACGGAGAUUUAACGCUGAUGAAGCUUCGGCAGAAUCUUGUUAAAUCUUAGUGGCGGACGGGUGAGUAACGCGUAGGCAACCUGCCUCAUACUGGGGGAUAACAGCUGGAAACGACUGUUAAUACCGCAUAAGCGCACAGUGUCGCAUGACACAGUGUGAAAAACUCCGGUGGUAUGAGAUGGGCCCGCGUCAGAUUAGCCAGUUGGCGGGGUAACGGCCCACCAAAGCGACGAUCUGUAGCCGGCCUGAGAGGGCGGACGGCCACAUUGGGACUGAGACACGGCCCAAACUCCUACGGGAGGCAGCAGUGGGGGAUAUUGCACAAUGGAGGAAACUCUGAUGCAGCGACGCCGCGUGAGUGAAGAAGUAUUUCGGUAUGUAAAGCUCUAUCAGCAGGGAAGAAAGGCUCGCAAGAGAGAUGACGGUACCUGACUAAGAAGCCCCGGCUAACUACGUGCCAGCAGCCGC